This 22-nucleotide microRNA is filed under the name Sus scrofa (pig). Its description in RNAcentral is "ssc-mir191". Lineage: Eukaryota; Metazoa; Chordata; Mammalia; Artiodactyla; Suidae. The record is from RNAcentral.
AGGACGGGAAGAGAGGAGGGCG